Molecule: ribosomal RNA, 637 nt
Filed under: uncultured bacterium
Lineage: Bacteria
Description: bacterial SSU rRNA
Rfam family: Bacterial small subunit ribosomal RNA
Source: RNAcentral
CGGAAGUUAGAGCUUCGGUUUUAACUUUAGUGGCGAACGGGUGAGUAACGCGUGAGGAACCUGCCUUUCAGUGGGGGACAACAGUUGGAAACGACUGCUAAUACCGCAUGAUGCUUUUGGGAGACAUCUCCUGAAAGUCAAAGCUUUAUGUGCUGAAAGAUGGCCUCGCGUCUGAUUAGCUAGUUGGUGAGGUAACGGCUCACCAAGGCGACGAUCAGUAGCCGGUCUGAGAGGAUGAACGGCCACAUUGGGACUGAGAUACGGCCCAGACUCCUACGGGAGGCAGCAGUGGGGAAUAUUGGGCAAUGGGGGAAACCCUGACCCAGCAACGCCGCGUGAAGGAAGAAGGCCUUCGGGUUGUAAACUUCUUUUACCAGGGACGAAGGACGUGACGGUACCUGGAGAAAAAGCAACGGCUAACUACGUGCCAGCAGCCGCGGUAAUACGUAGGUUGCAAGCGUUGUCCGGAUUUACUGGGUGUAAAGGGCGUGUAGGCGGAGAUGCAAGUUGGGAGUGAAAUCCAUGGGCUCAACCCAUGAACUGCUCUCAAAACUGUAUCCCUUGAGUAUCGGAGAGGCAAGCGGAAUUCCUAGUGUAGCGGUGAAAUGCGUAGAUAUUAGGAGGAACACCAGUGGCG